RNAcentral lists this ribosomal RNA (1372 nucleotides) under uncultured bacterium. RNAcentral's name for it is "bacterial SSU rRNA". It matches the Rfam family "Bacterial small subunit ribosomal RNA", at positions 28 to 1381 of the family's 1533-position model. The record is from RNAcentral.
GAUGAACGCUGGCGGCGUGCCUAAUACAUGCAAGUCGAGCGAACGGACGAGAAGCUUGCUUCUCUGAUGUUAGCGGCGGACGGGUGAGUAACACGUGGAUAACCUACCUAUAAGACUGGGAUAACUUCGGGAAACCGGAGCUAAUACCGGAUAAUAUUUUGAACCGCAUGGUUCAAAAGUGAAAGACGGUCUUGCUGUCACUUAUAGAUGGAUCCGCGCUGCAUUAGCUAGUUGGUAAGGUAACGGCUUACCAAGGCAACGAUGCAUAGCCGACCUGAGAGGGUGAUCGGCCACACUGGAACUGAGACACGGUCCAGACUCCUACGGGAGGCAGCAGUAGGGAAUCUUCCGCAAUGGGCGAAAGCCUGACGGAGCAACGCCGCGUGAGUGAUGAAGGUCUUCUGAUCGUAAAACUCUGUUAUUAGGGAAGAACAUAUGUGUAAGUAACUGUGCACAUCUUGACGGUACCUAAUCAGAAAGCCACGGCUAACUACGUGCCAGCAGCCGCGGUAAUACGUAGGUGGCAAGCGUUAUCCGGAAUUAUUGGGCGUAAAGCGCGCGUAGGCGGUUUUUUAAGUCUGAUGUGAAAGCCCACGGCUCAACCGUGGAGGGUCAUUGGAAACUGGAAAACUUGAGUGCAGAAGAGGAAAGUGGAAUUCCAUGUGUAGCGGUGAAAUGCGCAGAGAUAUGGAGGAACACCAGUGGCGAAGGCGACUUUCUGGUCUGUAACUGACGCUGAUGUGCGAAAGCGUGGGGAUCAAACAGGAUUAGAUACCCUGGUAGUCCACGCCGUAAACGAUGAGUGCUAAGUGUUAGGGGGUUUCCGCCCCUUAGUGCUGCAGCUAACGCAUUAAGCACUCCGCCUGGGGAGUACGACCGCAAGGUUGAAACUCAAAGGAAUUGACGGGGACCCGCACAAGCGGUGGAGCAUGUGGUUUAAUUCGAAGCAACGCGAAGAACCUUACCAAAUCUUGACAUCCUUUGACAACUCUAGAGAUAGAGCCUUCCCCUUCGGGGGACAAAGUGACAGGUGGUGCAUGGUUGUCGUCAGCUCGUGUCGUGAGAUGUUGGGUUAAGUCCCGCAACGAGCGCAACCCUUAAGCUUAGUUGCCAUCAUUAAGUUGGGCACUCUAAGUUGACUGCCGGUGACAAACCGGAGGAAGGUGGGGAUGACGUCAAAUCAUCAUGCCCCUUAUGAUUUGGGCUACACACGUGCUACAAUGGACAAUACAAAGGGCAGCGAAACCGCGAGGUCAAGCAAAUCCCAUAAAGUUGUUCUCAGUUCGGAUUGUAGUCUGCAACUCGACUACAUGAAGCUGGAAUCGCUAGUAAUCGUAGAUCAGCAUGCUACGGUGAAUACGUUCCCGGGUCU